This 761-nucleotide ribosomal RNA is filed under the name Candida albicans. RNAcentral describes it as "eukaryotic LSU rRNA". It matches the Rfam family "Eukaryotic large subunit ribosomal RNA", at positions 114 to 892 of the family's 3401-position model. The record is from RNAcentral. Lineage: Eukaryota; Fungi; Ascomycota; Pichiomycetes; Serinales; Debaryomycetaceae.
UUUGAAAUCUGGCGUCUUUGGCGUCCGAGUUGUAAUUUGAAGAAGGUAUCUUUGGGCCCGGCUCUUGUCUAUGUUCCUUGGAACAGGACGUCACAGAGGGUGAGAAUCCCGUGCGAUGAGAUGACCCGGGUCUGUGUAAAGUUCCUUCGACGAGUCGAGUUGUUUGGGAAUGCAGCUCUAAGUGGGUGGUAAAUUCCAUCUAAAGCUAAAUAUUGGCGAGAGACCGAUAGCGAACAAGUACAGUGAUGGAAAGAUGAAAAGAACUUUGAAAAGAGAGUGAAAAAGUACGUGAAAUUGUUGAAAGGGAAGGGCUUGAGAUCAGACUUGGUAUUUUGCAUGCUGCUCUCUCGGGGGCGGCCGCUGCGGUUUACCGGGCCAGCAUCGGUUUGGAGCGGCAGGAUAAUGGCGGAGGAAUGUGGCACGGCUUCUGCUGUGUGUUAUAGCCUCUGACGAUGCUGCCAGCCUAGACCGAGGACUGCGGUUUUUAACCUAGGAUGUUGGCAUAAUGAUCUUAAGUCGCCCGUCUUGAAACACGGACCAAGGAGUCUAACGUCUAUGCGAGUGUUUGGGUGUAAAACCCGUACGCGUAAUGAAAGUGAACGAAGGUGGGGGCCCAUUAGGGUGCACCAUCGACCGAUCCUGAUGUGUUCGGAUGGAUUUGAGUAAGAGCAUAGCUGUUGGGACCCGAAAGAUGGUGAACUAUGCCUGAAUAGGGUGAAGCCAGAGGAAACUCUGGUGGAGGCUCGUAGCGGUUCUGACGU